AACGCGAAGAACCUUACCUGGGCUCGAAAUGUAGUGGACCGGGGUAGAAAUAUCCCUUCCCCGCAAGGGGCCGCUAUAUAGGUGCUGCAUGGCUGUCGUCAGCUCGUGUCGUGAGAUGUUGGGUUAAGUCCCGCAACGAGCGCAACCCUUAUCCCCAGUUGCCAUCAUUAAGUUGGGCACUCUGGUGAAACCGCCUCGGAUAACGGGGAGGAAGGUGGGGAUGACGUCAAGUCCUCAUGGCCUUUAUGUCCAGGGCUACACACGUGCUACAAUGGCCGGUACAAACCGUCGCAAACCCGUGAGGGGGAGCUAAUCGGAAAAAGCCGGCCUCAGUUCGGAUCGUAGUCUGCAACUCGACUACGUGAAGCUGGAAUCGCUAGUAAUCGCGGAUCAGAACGCCGCGGUGAAUACGUUCCCGGGCCUUGUACACACCGCUCGCGA
RNAcentral lists this ribosomal RNA (441 nucleotides) under uncultured bacterium. RNAcentral describes it as "bacterial SSU rRNA". It matches the Rfam family "Bacterial small subunit ribosomal RNA", at positions 958 to 1399 of the family's 1533-position model. The record is from RNAcentral.